This 300-nucleotide ribosomal RNA is filed under the name uncultured Ignicoccus sp. Its description in RNAcentral is "bacterial SSU rRNA". The stretch from base 67 to 300 matches the Rfam family "Bacterial small subunit ribosomal RNA", at positions 562 to 795 of the family's 1533-position model. The record is from RNAcentral. Lineage: Archaea; Thermoproteati; Thermoproteota; Thermoprotei; Desulfurococcales; Desulfurococcaceae.
GGGGAAGACGGGACGGGAGCGGCGGGAGUGCGUGGGGGGAAAGCGGUGUGCGGGAGCGUGUGUGGGAAAGCGCGGGGAGGCGGCGGGGGAAGUCCGCUCUGAAAGGCCGGGGGUCAACCCCGGGAGGCGGGCGGAAAGUGUCGGGGUAGAGUCCGGAAGAGGCGAGUGGAAUUCCCGGUGUAGCGGGGAAAUGCGCAGAUAUCGGGAGGAACACCAAUGGCGAAGGCAGCUCGCUGGGACGUGACUGACGCUGAGACGCGAAAGCGUGGGGAGCAAACAGGAUUAGAUACCCCUGUAGUC